Molecule: long non-coding RNA, 1948 nt
Organism: Homo sapiens (human)
Lineage: Eukaryota; Metazoa; Chordata; Mammalia; Primates; Hominidae
Exons: 3
Source: RefSeq, a predicted model, not a curated record
CAUGCAACUUGAGGGAAAGAAGGAAAACUAAAAAUAUUCCUGCAUGGAUGUUCCAAAUAUUUUAUGAGAUAGAAAAAAACUCCCAUGAAUACUGAAGUUUGUAAAUGCGUAUUGAAAUUACGUGCCCCUGGAACCGGUUUUCUAAACUGACACCCCUGUGUGUUUGGGUUCCCUCUGGCUGGUGCCCUGAGCCCACCCUCGGUCGACCCAUGGGUCCCCCGCUUCCCUACUCACCAGAUGUCCUGUGUUUGCUGUGACGCUGACGGAGGAGGAGGAGGAAGAGGAGGAGGAAGAGCAGCAGGACGAAGGCCACCGAGACCCCAAUCAAAACCUCCAGGUAUCUUCCCAGACCUUGACAUGAGGACGUCAGGAGUGGGAAUGAUGUCAUUGAUGUGAGCACCUACUGUGUGCAGGCGCGAGCCAGGUCUUUCCUUCGUGACCUCCAACCCUCACAAGCAGUCGUGCAACAUGGAAUUGCCACCCGUACAACCCAUUUCACAGAUGCACAAACUGAGGCUCAGAGCAGGGAGUCGCCUGCCCCAGGCCUCCAGCGAGGAAGCGGCAGAGCUGGGAAGGGAGCCCGGGAGUCUGACCUGCAGCCCUUGUUCCUGCACCAGAGCCGAGACCCGGAGCUGCAGGGAAAGAGCCUGACCGUCCUGAACCACGGCCCUGCUCCCCUCCCCUGCCCCAGGUCACCGUCACUGCUGCAGGCGGGAGCCUCUGAUUCCUGGCGGAGAGCCACAGUGAGCCCAGCAGAACCCAUCUGAGCGCCAGCAUCCAGCCCGGUCAGGAGGAUUUGCUGCCCCCUCCUGGUGGAAUGCGCGCCAUGUCGUCAAGCGGCCACCAGAUGACUCGCUCGCUGGUCCACUCAAAGGCAUCACAUCCAGAGCGCUCUGCUGGUCACAGCCAGUUCUGUUCUUCAGGGUCAAGCAUCAUGUAAGUUCCCAUGUAGGAAAGGAAUCCGGAAUGAACAGCAGCUGCACACAAAUGCCUUUCUCUGAUUUCCACCUCAGAGGGGUCCAGGAGGUGAUCAGGCACAUGGAGCAUUGUCACAUUUGGUACCAAUCCCAGUGUGAUCCCUAAAACACCACCUGAUUGGGUUGAGCCUCAUCUCUGAAAUAACCAAGCCCUGUGUGAUCCCUAAACCACCACCUGAUUGGGUGGAACCUCAUUUCUGGAAUAACCAAGCCCUGUGUGAUCCCUAAACCACCGCCUGAUUGGAUGGAACCUCAUCUCUGGAAUAACCAAGCCCUGUGUGAUCAUCCUAAACCACCACCUGAUUGGGUUGAACCUCAUGUCUGAAAUAACCCCAAGGCCAUGUUGGUGUCCUUCAUCCCAGUUCUGGUGGUUUCAACAUAAUGAAAUCAGAAAGUUAUAUGGCCACUUAAAAAUGUCAAGUGCAUGUCAUGAAGUACUGGACAAGGUGUUUCCCUUUCUGAGGCCCAUUCUUACCUGGGUAAGUGGCUCAUUGUCUGCGUGGACUCAGGUGAGGUUGAUCAGGCAGGUGGGUGUCAUGUUGUGAAUGAAACACAAAGUCAACCUGUGAGAUCAUUGCUCUGACAGGUCAAGAACCACCUGGUUUGCCAUUUAGUGGCCAGUGCAGCCUGUGGCAUUCACCACCACACUUCAAUCUCAGCUCCCUAAAUGGCAUGACAAAUAAAGAUAGAUAGGUACAAAAACAGAGAUAUGCUAUUCCCUGGUUAAAAUGGCUGUUAUCUCUAAGACAAAAAUUAACAGAUGCUGUCAAGGAUAUGGAGAAAAGAAACCCUUCUACCUUGGUGGGAACGCAAGUUGGUGCAGCCAAUAUGGAAAACAGCAUGGAGGUUCCUCAAGAAACUGAAAGUAGAACAACCACACCAUCCAGUAAUCGCACAGAUGGGUAUAUUUCCAAAAGAAAGAAAAUCAGUAUAUCAAAGAGGUGUCUGCAUUGCCAUGUUUAUUGCAGCAG